This is a long non-coding RNA of Heterocephalus glaber (naked mole-rat), 286 nucleotides long. The record is from Ensembl. NCBI's taxonomy places the organism in Eukaryota, Metazoa, Chordata, Mammalia, Rodentia, Bathyergidae.
GUCAGGUGCUUCUGACACAAGAAGAAUAUAUGACCAUAGACCAAGAUGGUGGAUUUGCUGCAAGCAACAUGAUGUGACACCCCUGCUGACAGCCAUGCAAAGGCUACAUCUGAGAAACUCCUCUUGCCUGUGAUGGCCCUGAGACUUUCGGAGAUCACCAGACCUGAUACACUGCCUACUGAUGAGACCCAAAAACAGGCCCAAAGACAAUCACAGCUCACCCUGAUACAGUUGCUGCCAUUUUAACAGCAAAAUCUUUAUUGCUAUUUUAAUCCAAUAAACUUUG